Molecule: ribosomal RNA, 691 nt
Filed under: uncultured bacterium
Lineage: Bacteria
Description: bacterial SSU rRNA
Rfam family: Bacterial small subunit ribosomal RNA
Source: RNAcentral
AACGCUAGCUACAGGCUUAACACAUGCAUGUCGAGGGGCAGCAUUGGAGUAGCAAUACUUCAGAUGGCGACCGGCGCACGGGUGAGUAACACGUAUCCAACCUGCCGCUUACUCGGGGAUAGCCUUUCGAAAGAAAGAUUAAUACCCGAUGGUAUAAAGAGUUCGCAUGUUCUCUUUAUUAAAGAAUUUCGGUAAGCGAUGGGGAUGCGUUCCAUUAGAUAGUUGGCGGGGUAACGGCCCACCAAGUCUACGAUGGAUAGGGGUUCUGAGAGGAAGGUCCCCCACAUUGGAACUGAGACACGGUCCAAACUCCUACGGGAGGCAGCAGUGAGGAAUAUUGGUCAAUGGACGAGAGUCUGAACCAGCCAAGUAGCGUGAAGGAUGACUGCCCUAUGGGUUGUAAACUUCUUUUAUAAGGGAAUAAAGUGAGGGACGUGUCCCUUUUUGUAUGUACCUUAUGAAUAAGGAUCGGCUAACUCCGUGCCAGCAGCCGCGGUAAUACGGAGGAUCCAAGCGUUAUCCGGAUUUAUUGGGUUUAAAGGGAGCGUAGGUUGACAUAUAAGUCAGCUGUGAAAGUUUACGGCUCAACCGUGAAAUUGCAGUUGAUACUGUAUGUCUUGAGUGUACAAGAGGUGGGCGGAAUUCGUGGUGUAGCGGUGAAAUGCUUAGAUAUCACGAAGAACUCCGAUUG